AGUGAACGCUGGCGGUAGGCCUAACACAUGCAAGUCGAACGGCAGCACAGUAAGAGCUUGCUCUUACGGGUGGCGAGUGGCGGACGGGUGAGGAAUACAUCGGAAUCUACUUUUUCGUGGGGGAUAACGUAGGGAAACUUACGCUAAUACCGCAUACGACCUACGGGUGAAAGCAGGGGAUCUUCGGACCUUGCGCGAUUGAAUGAGCCGAUGUCGGAUUAGCUAGUUGGCGGGGUAAGGGCCCACCAAGGCGACGAUCCGUAGCUGGUCUGAGAGGAUGAUCAGCCACACUGGAACUGAGACACGGUCCAGACUCCUACGGGAGGCAGCAGUGGGGAAUAUUGGACAAUGGGCGCAAGCCUGAUCCAGCCAUACCGCGUGGGUGAAGAAGGCCUUCGGGUUGUAAAGCCCUUUCGUUGGGAAAGAAAAGCAGCAGGUUAAUACCCCGCUGUUCUGACGGUACCCAAAGAAUAAGCACCGGCUAACUUCGUG
Molecule: ribosomal RNA, 492 nt
Filed under: uncultured bacterium
Lineage: Bacteria
Description: partial 16S ribosomal RNA
Rfam family: Bacterial small subunit ribosomal RNA
Source: RNAcentral